AUCUAAUAGUUGGGCGUCAUCUCGCAGUUUCUACAAAGAGUUACAUGCCUGAAUAAUACUCCGUCACACUCCCAUCGGUCGCCGGCGGCGCUGCCUGCACAACGACUCCGUCCCCGUUGCCGCCGUCGCAUCGUCACCGCGGCCACGAACCCAUGGGGAGGGAGCAGAGCGAAUCCACAACACGGCCGCCAGUUUCGAUGCCGUAAGCUCACGGAUUUUACUAAUUGUUUCAGAUUGAUGCUUUUGAUCUCCAUAGGCUUUGGAGCUUUUGCCCAGAUGCAUGCUGCCGUUCUCAUAUCUCUAACUUGCCUCCGCACAGUAGCAAUCUGUAUUAUUAGUGACUGUCUUAAAAAUAGCAGUUCAUGCAUCAUCUUGAAAAUAGCCAAUCUCAAAAUCAUGGCCUGUCUAAUUAUAUAUGCAGACGCAAAGAACUGCAUUGAUUUUAUCUGAAAAUGAAACGAAAGACAAACAUAUUGACAUAACUACUCCGUCGGCCUGCAGUAAUGUCUUUUCACUUCCUCUGCUGAAACUACACUUUGUUCAUAAAAAAUUGUACUACUAAUUUUGUUUUCUGGUAUUUCGACUUCAUUAAAUUAGUCUUCUGGUAGCAGGUGAGACUGAACUGUAGAGUGCUCUUGGAAUAUCAGCAUCGUCCAAGCAUUAUUUGUGGAAUUCAGGCGAUAAUCUGUAAAAUAAAGAAAAUAGGCGCACAAGUGAGUACUUGAACCUUUUUUUAGGGUUUUGCUUUUGUUUGAACUUUGAACAAACUGCAUUCAGUAGGCAGGCAAUGCAUAUGUACAAAGAGGCACGCUAACUUCUAAUAGCCGAGACUUGGCAUAUUUCCAUGGAUAUUUUGUGAAAGAUAUUACCGGCAAGGCGACACUAUAUAAUUAUCACUCUGGAGUUUGCUGUUUUGGAAUCUAAUGCAACCAUAUUUUGUGACGUUGACUAGAAAUGCUUGCUACUAUGCAUGCUAGAAUGGUGCAUGUGCAAACUUUUUCGUAUCACAGCUGAAGUCUUAGGUUUAAUUCUCCGAACUGAUUUGGCAUGACGAUGGUACAUGAUUGAUCUGUGAAAACUUCAUGUGAGCAGGGAACUUUAGUACUCCCUCCGUCCGGAAAUACUUGUCCUAAAAAUGCA
This 1140-nucleotide long non-coding RNA is filed under the name Hordeum vulgare. RNAcentral's name for it is "long non-coding RNA (HVUL_LNC000309)". The record is from RNAcentral. Lineage: Eukaryota; Viridiplantae; Streptophyta; Magnoliopsida; Poales; Poaceae.